UAACCCGACGAAGGGGAGGCACGCGUACACGGUAGGUCAGCGACUGGGGUG
Molecule: ribosomal RNA, 51 nt
Filed under: uncultured bacterium
Lineage: Bacteria
Description: partial 16S ribosomal RNA
Source: RNAcentral